RNAcentral lists this ribosomal RNA (434 nucleotides) under uncultured Clostridium sp. RNAcentral's name for it is "partial 16S ribosomal RNA". It matches the Rfam family "Bacterial small subunit ribosomal RNA", at positions 341 to 792 of the family's 1533-position model. Lineage: Bacteria; Bacillati; Bacillota; Clostridia; Eubacteriales; Clostridiaceae. The record is from RNAcentral.
ACGGGAGGCAGCAGUGGGGAAUAUUGGACAAUGGGGGAAACCCUGAUCCAGCGACGCCGCGUGAGUGAAGAAGUGUUUCGGUAUGUAAAGCUCUAUCAGCAAGGAAGAAAAUGACGGUACUUGACUAAGAAGCCCCGGCUAACUACGUGCCAGCAGCCGCGGUAGUACGUAGGGGGCAAGCGUUAUCCGGAUUUACUGGGUGUAAAGGGAGCGUAGACGGUUUGGCAAGUCUGAAGUGAAAGCCCGGGGCCCAACCCCGGAACUGCUUUGGAAACUGUCGAACUGGAGUGCAGGAGAGGUAAGUGGAAUUCCUAGUGUAGCGGUGAAAUGCGUAGAUAUUAGGAGGAACACCAGUGGCGAAGGCGGCUUACUGGACUGUAACUGACGUUGAGGCUCGAAGGCGUGGGGAGCAAACAGGAUUAGAUACCCUGGUA